GUGCCAGCCGCCGCGGUAAUACCGGCAGCCCGAGUGAUGGCCGAUCUUAUUGGGCCUAAAGCGUCCGUAGCUGGCUGCGCAAGUCCGUCGGGAAAUCCACUCGCCCAACGAGUGGCCGUCCGGUGGAAACUCCACACCUUGGGACCGGAAGGCUCGAAGGGUACGGCCGGGGUAGGAGUGAAAUCCUGUAGUCCCGUCCGGACCACCGAUGGCGAAAGCACUUCGAGAAAACGGAUCCGACAGUGAGGGACGAAAGCUAAGAUCGCGAACCGGAUUAGAUACCCCUGUAGUCC
This 293-nucleotide ribosomal RNA is filed under the name uncultured bacterium. RNAcentral's name for it is "partial 16S ribosomal RNA". It matches the Rfam family "Archaeal small subunit ribosomal RNA", at positions 455 to 747 of the family's 1478-position model. The record is from RNAcentral.